This 253-nucleotide ribosomal RNA is filed under the name uncultured bacterium. RNAcentral describes it as "partial 16S ribosomal RNA". It matches the Rfam family "Bacterial small subunit ribosomal RNA", at positions 524 to 776 of the family's 1533-position model. The record is from RNAcentral.
UACGGAGGGUCCAAGCGUUAUCCGGAUUCAUUGGGUUUAAAGGGUCCGUAGGCGGUCUUUUAAGUCAGUGGUGAAAGCCUACAGCUCAACUGUAGAACUGCCAUUGAUACUGGAAGACUUGAGUGUGAUUGAAGUGGGCGGAAUACGUCAUGUAGCGGUGAAAUGCAUAGAUAUGACGUAGAACACCGAUUGCGAAGGCAGCUCACUAAGUCAUAACUGACGCUGAGGGACGAAAGCGUGGGUAGCGAACAGG